This 253-nucleotide ribosomal RNA is filed under the name uncultured bacterium. RNAcentral describes it as "partial 16S ribosomal RNA". It matches the Rfam family "Bacterial small subunit ribosomal RNA", at positions 524 to 776 of the family's 1533-position model. The record is from RNAcentral.
UACGUAGGGGGCGAGCGUUGUCCGGAGUUACUGGGCGUAAAGGGCACGCAGGCGGUCGCUUACGUUUGGGGUUACAGCUCCCGGCUCAACCGGGAGAGCGCCUUGAACACGGGGCGACUUGAGGGCCAGAGAGGGACACAGAAUUCCGGGUGUAGUGGUGAAAUGCGUAGAUAUCCGGAGGAAUACCAAAGGCGAAGGCAGUGUCCUGGAGGGUACCUGACGCUGAGGUGCGAAAGCUAGGGGAGCGAACGGG